This 253-nucleotide ribosomal RNA is filed under the name uncultured bacterium. RNAcentral's name for it is "partial 16S ribosomal RNA". It matches the Rfam family "Bacterial small subunit ribosomal RNA", at positions 524 to 776 of the family's 1533-position model. The record is from RNAcentral.
GACGUAGGAUCCGAGCGUUGUCCGGAGUUACUGGGCGUAAAGCGCGCGCAGGCGGACACGCGCAUCGGCCGUGAAAGCCCCCCGCUCAACGGGGGAGGGUCGGUCGAGAUGGCGUGUCUGGAGGCAGGGAGAGGCCAGUGGAAUUCCGGGUGUAGUGGUGAAAUGCGUAGAGAUCCGGAGGAACACCAGUGGCGAAGGCGGCUGGCUGGACCUGACCUGACGCUGAGGCGCGAAGGCGUGGGGAGCGAACGGG